GACGAACGCUGGCGGCAUGCUUAACACAUGCAAGUCGAACGGAAGGGCCCUGCUUUUGUGGGGUGCUCGAGUGGCGAACGGGUGAGUAACACGUGAGUAACCUGCCCUUGACUUUGGGAUAACUUCAGGAAACUGGGGCUAAUACCGGAUAGGAGCUCCUGCUGCAUGGUGGGGGUUGGAAAGUUUCGGCGGUUGGGGAUGGACUCGCGGCUUAUCAGCUUGUUGGUGGGGUAGUGGCUUACCAAGGCUUUGACGGGUAGCCGGCCUGAGAGGGUGACCGGCCACAUUGGGACUGAGAUACGGCCCAGACUCCUACGGGAGGCAGCAGUGGGGAAUAUUGCACAAUGGGCGGAAGCCUGAUGCAGCAACGCCGCGUGCGGGAUGACGGCCUUCGGGUUGUAAACCGCUUUCGCCUGUGACGAAGCGUGAGUGACGGUAAUGGGUAAAGAAGCACCGGCUAACUACGUG
RNAcentral lists this ribosomal RNA (468 nucleotides) under uncultured bacterium. RNAcentral's name for it is "partial 16S ribosomal RNA". It matches the Rfam family "Bacterial small subunit ribosomal RNA", at positions 28 to 507 of the family's 1533-position model. The record is from RNAcentral.